UAAUAUACUUAUUAUUAGCAAAUAAAAUUACUUAGGGUCGGUUUCACCAACAAAAAAUAAAUCAGUGAAUAGUUAUUCGUCGAAUAAGAUUUAUUAGUCGAUUAAAUUUUAUUUCGUUUCAAUAACUAUUUGUAAUCCACAGUUAGUUAUUCGUCAAAUAAGUUCAAAGUAUAAUGAUUUUCCACAGACUGUACUCGUUGACAUAAGCGAAUGACAGUUCUUCUUCCUCAUAUUAGCUUGUUGGCCUCCACCUCUUCGGUGUUUUGCCAAGCACAUUGCAUUAUUUUCCACUGUAAUCCCACGUGACCUCUGGUUGGCACAUAAACUAACAAAGAGGUUAUGUUUGUAGGUAUCUUUUAUCUAUUUUUCAAUGAUUUUUCAUUGUUUAUAAUCAUCGUAUUUUGUCUAUUUUGGAUUCAUUUGGAUUUCGUUUCCUGUUUUUGUGAACUUUAUAAACUUAACCACAAUGCAAAAUGAUUAUUUAAGGAAAUUAUUAUUGGAAACUUCAGAUGUUGCGAGAAAGAUAUUUAUUGAAGCUGAAAAUAAUUGGGGAUUUAGAUCCAUACGCAAUUCAGUCAGAAUUGGAUUUUACAGUUAAGUGCAGUCCAUCAAGUUACUAUUAUAGAUAUUUAUACAUAUUUGGUGGAGUCUCACAGUUGCUACUCUAAGCAGCAGAUGAAAGCAUACAAAAGCCUUCAGGCACAUAAAUAUUUUACAGCUGGAUUUGUUUUGAAUGGAGUAAAAAUUGUUAAUGAUUUCCAUAUUAUUGUAGGAAAGGUGAAGCAUUUCCAAAAAGCUAAUGCUAAACGACUAAAUGCUUGGGUGGGGUGAUAGCCAGUUCUGAUGACAUAGCAAAUGCACAUUGUAUGCAUAUGGCCGGUAAUAGUAAAGUAUGCCCAGGGCAAGACAGACGAAGAAGAACCCAAUGCAUGUACAUAUGUUACAGCUACAUGGUUUGGAGAUAGCAACAUAUGCAUUCUCUGAUGAAAAACUAAUGAGUUUUGAAACUGUUCGGUCAGAGUGCUUGUUGCGCUCACUGAACGAACUGAAAUAUGAGAUGGCUUUGGCAUUGUGUUGCAGCGAUAUGAAAAUGGUUAUUCAUUUUUAAUUAUAAUGUACUUCUUCAUCAUGAGUAAUUAUGUAUUGGUCUUUUAAAUGUGUAUUUAUUUUUGUAAUUAGUAUCAACUUGUAAUGAUAAUAUACAUUUAUCGUUUAAGGUAUGACUAUGUUUAGACUCUAAAAUAAAUGUUUUAAAAAUCGAA
Long non-coding RNA from Diabrotica virgifera virgifera (western corn rootworm), 1262 nucleotides. RefSeq lists it as uncharacterized. The record is from RefSeq and is a predicted model, not a curated record. Lineage: Eukaryota; Metazoa; Arthropoda; Insecta; Coleoptera; Chrysomelidae. The transcript has 3 exons.